CAGGCUGACGAGCUCUGGCCGGAGCACAUGUGAGGCAGGAACUGGAGCACUAAAGGGGAAGACAGUGAAGAUGGUGAUGAUGGUCUUUGGCCAGGCGUGAGGCCAAGACAGAAUUAAAAGCAGCGCAGGAUGUGAAGCUGUACACUGAGCCGAUAUCGCACACCGCAUGCUGUUUCCUUGUCCCCCCCCCCCAUGUGGCCUGAUAAUUAGACAGGCAGUAUGAAGGUCUCUCUGUGUCUGCUGUCGAUCACAGACUAUACAAAGAGGUUUCAUCCUCAGACCAGGCUGCCUCUCCAACUGGUCGCACUCUACUGGGAAUGUAGGAGGACAGCCAGCCGCCUCUGACGUUAGAGGACAGAGCAGCAGAUGACAUGUGCAAAUAGGAGUGGGCGGCUGAAUGAAGCUUGCAUCUCUAAAAUUGCAGGGGAAACAUAGAUGGAGAGGAUUGAAAACACAGAGAGCCACAAUGGCUUCCUAACCUUGGAGAACAAAAGAAACGCAGCAACAGCCUCUUGAGCUUGCAGUUCCUUGGGUUUAGUAGCCAAGGUCAAUUACCUCCACCUGAAGAAUAAAAAAUAUUCUGAUACACACACACACACACACUAGCUGCAGCCUGUGGCAUGAAUUCAUCUGUGAGCAUGUCCUCAAUAUCGUCUGUUCUUCUGGGUGAUCCGACCAAAACUAUGCAAUGGAACAUGAGAGUGCCAUAAACCUGUCUGUCAGAUCAUUAACAUCCAAACCGCUUUCAUGAGAAAACUUUAUUGGACAAAAAGCUUUGGAUAAGACUGCAAGAAAACUUCUAUUCACUUUCAGGAUAUUCCAUCGCAGACGAAGUACAAAUUGUACAAACCCUUUUUUUGAUAUGCCGAAUGUCGUUUUCUGUGGAUUUAAAUGUUUUUAUCACUAAUGCAUUGAAAUGGGACUGCUAUUUCUGGAGCUGGUCAAGGUAGAGUUCAUUUAAACUAAUGGAGCACAGCCUGCAAGCUUGCUCAGGCAAGCUGCACUUUCAUGCUCACUCUCCUCACAUUAUAUGCCAAAACACUCCCCACCUAACACCCUGCACUCCCCCUUCUCUUUAGUGGUCUGCGUUAUUCUCCCAUUUCUCCCUUUGACAGCUCAUUGCUGCUGCCCAGCAUUGCUGGCUGAUCUUUGGUCUUCCCACCACCAUGAUGUUGUUUGCACAUCACUCCCCACCUUCUAUAUGUAAUGUGAUGAGCUCAGAGUCUGUACACCAAACUCUAACCCUAUUCUACUUUAGUAAUAAAGAAUUUCAAAUGUGAGUGGUCCGACUGACCUUUAGUAAGUGGGAAUAAGCUGAAAGUUGAGAUCUAAAAUUAAAACAGACAGAGCAGUAAGAAUAUUUCAGUUUUCUUUCAAAUCAGCUAAUCAGAGCAAUCUGUAAAAAACUGUAUCAUGUACCCAUUUUAAAUAAAAACAAUUUUAAAUCUCUUUAAGAAGCCAGUUACUGUCUAUAAUCUCUGUAGAGGAUAAUCUUGCUUUGCUAAAUAAUGCAUUAAAAGCUAAUAAUCUGGCAUGUAUAAAAACAGAUGCGACACACACUGCUGCUACCAGCCUGUCUUCUGCAUGGUUAAACAGUGCGAUGCUUUUCAUAGGGAAUCCUGGGACCUCUGACCUAAUUUUUGUGACUCUCUCAAUGAGCUGUGACAUUUUGGCUGUGAACAUUUUAGAAAAUGAACUCUGACAGGUCAGACAAGAACACGGGUUUCCAGUUGCAUUCUGCUCAAAAGCCAAUGCCACCCGUCAAGUCAGGUGCAUGAGUGUAUGAAUAGCUCAGUUUUCUUUUCUCGUCAUUACCUUCCUGCAGAAGCAGAGGGGAAUCAAUAGUUUCAUAGGCAAUAGAGGCUUCACCAUAACAUGGUAGAAAAGAGGUCCAAGUCCAUUUAUGCAAAAUAUAUUAAUAUUUUGAGUGCCUUUUUUUUCAAAGAUUAUAAAAUAGGUCGUGUUGACUCAGUGAUUAAAAACAACCCAACGUUUUAUAGGAGGCCAUGCAGACUGAGAGUUUAUAAAGAGCAGAAGGACGAAAUGCCAGUCAGUCCACCUGCAGCUCAGACCAGAAUUAAUGUUUUCUUAAGAGAUGAGCAGCAAAGCUCCACUGAGACCAGGAACAAUGAAAGGUCAUCAUGUGUUAAGGACCAGCCACUGCACAGCCGUGUUAUUUCUCAAGUGUUUCCGGAUCUGCUCUGAGAGAGUCGUUGUUAAGCUACGCAGCGCCGUCAUUGCAGGUAGAGCUGCUGAUUGCUGGCAGGGCUUUUAAUAGGUUUCCCUCUGAGGUGCUGAAGCUCAUUACUCGUCUCUGUUGCUAUAAACCUCCACGCUGUCGUACAUCUGUUUUUGAGAUCACAUCAGUGGAAAUGAGAAGGUUUUCAUCCACAUUUCCAUUCAUAAAUACAAGCUACUUUGCUAAUUGGUAGCUCUAAAAUAACUUGUGAGAUGGCUUCACAUACAUUCACCAGUAUGCAGAAAUGUACACAAACUCGGUGACCCGCUGAAAGCCCAUCCCCCGGUUGCUGUUUCUCUUUGCUCAGAAAUACCAACUACCAGGCUCAGCCAUCUGUGACUCUCUGAACCUACUGACCUUGCGGAAAAGCAGAUCCUUGAAUUAUACUAAUGCAUUUGGCUGAACCUUUUCCUCCUGAGGAUCAGUUAUCAGACUCACUGUGCUUAGCUGUGUUUUGGCGCCACUUCCCCUCCAUUCAAAUCCCUUUACCGCCGUACACGUGCAUCUGAGAGAAACGCUCCACAGAUCGUUAUUUAUCCUCAUUGGAUAAAUAUAUGACUUUCCCUUCCAGGUCCGUACAGUAUGUUCAUUAUGCAUGCCAUAGUGCUGUUGCCCUUUGCAAAUGUGCUUCGCUGUUUCCAGGUGUUGAUCUUUGCAAAAGGGAAGCAUAAUCAGAGGAGUGCGCAUAAAGAUAUUUAUCACAGGGGAAGUUGAGAAGGUGUAUCUGGAAAAAUAACACACAUUCUAACUGCAUCACGUUUCACUGACUAUAUGAAAAUACCACAGAGAGGAUGGGCUUAACUCUGGCCGCCCAACACAGUUUGAAAUCAUAAGCAGAGGCUCAUUUAACAACUAUAACAGGGGAAAUUUAGUGCUUUCAGGGAAACGAAAAUAUAUCAUUCAAAAUCCCAGAGACCUAGAGGAAAGAAGAUUAAUUGCAGGAUAAAUUGUUGUAAUGCUGAAUAUCCCUGACUGGCUUAGUUUGUGGCUAUACAUAAUUACCCGCGUGGCCUUCAAACUGUUAAACUGAGAUCUGCUGAGCAAACAAUACUGAGUGGAUUUCGCCCUUUGAAAGGUAAUGGACCAGGAGAGGGCUCAGGCUAAAAUUAGUUACUGUAACGGUGUUUUAUCCUGACAAUGAGCUUUCUGCCCAAAGUUCACACAACACCUCACCACUGCCUCCCUCCUCCCUGUCACCACUACUCUUUAGGCUGUUGGCAGAUUCAUUUGCGCUUGACCUAGUUAAUGUCUCUGGAGAAAUGGAGGAGUAAACACACACAUGCAAAUGCUCCACUCCAGAAAACCUGGAAUUUUCCAUUCUUCCACACCCAGUCCACAAGCCAGACCACGGGAGGAACAUUUUGGGCAUGUGAUGCACUGCACGUAACAGCCUGAUAACAUAUUGACAACACCAAGCCUAGUAGUGAGGUCACCUGUAGUAGUGAGGUCAUCUUCUGAAUUACCUCCAAAAUGCAUUUGAUAUUUACUUGAUUGUCUCUUGAAAAUGUUUAAGGUUUCAAUUAUUUUAAACUACAGUAGAGUGAAACUGAGGUUCAUAUUAUUCUUCAGGCAUGCUAGAUUUCAUUUGAGUAUGCCUCUAGUGGGAACUCUUUAAAAAAAAAGUCAAGGUAAAAUAAGGAGCGCGUGUAUAAUAUGUGCAAUGUAACUGGAGACUAGAUUUCCCUGGUAAAACAAUUUGAUCAAAUUAACAAUGACUAAUAAAAUGAGAGCAAAAGCUAUCUCAGCUUUUCUUCAGUUGUUUUCUUUUGUUUACUGCCAUCAUUUCUAUCCACCGAAAAGCAUCCUGCAGAUGGCAGGUCUGGCUGUAAAUAGAUAUGACACCCAACAUCUGCCCAAUAUUUGCAUUUUCAUGAAAACUGGUCUGAUGGGGUUAUAUUUUCGUGUCCGUAUCAAGUAAGCGCUGUUUAAUUGUUCCGCCCAGAUAACUGCCCAUUCUUCUCUUUGAUAUGCCCAUGGAAUUAUGGGAAAUUCAAACGUUUAGCAACUCCAAUAACAUGGCUGGCAAUAUUUUACUUGUGUGUCUUGUGAGUCUGUGUGUCCUCAUGGCAAAAUCUGCUUCUGGUAACACCCACUGCAGUAGGGACACCUCAACGAUAUUCACUGCAACAGCACAAUAGUUUUGCAUCUGUACAUUCGCAUAGAAUGAAAUAGAUUGUGUUGCAGAGAUCAAACUGUAGUUCAAAGUUGUGUGCACUUCUAUACAUGUGUACUGAGUAAAGAGCUGCAAUGUAAAGGGACCAAGGGGCUUAUUAUCUCCCACAAAUCUGUCAACUACGGUGUCAGAAAAUUGGUGUUUAUUAAGUGUUGGGUUAAAAUGGACUGAUUCUUUUAUAGUGCAUUUCUACUUGAUCACAUGCCUCAUUCAUCCAAGCAAUUUUUCUUUGCCCGAGUGCUUUCUAUCUAACAUUCCCACUCUGUUAAACUCAUGGGAAAGCAAUUUAAGACUCAGUAUCUUGCACAACAAUACUUUGACAUGCAGAUGGGAGCAGCCAAGGAUUAAACUACUAGCCUUCCGAUUAAUAGAUGAUCUGCUCUACCUAAUGGGCUACAGACACCCCAUAAAAUAAAAGCACAAGAUUUAGUGUGACUAGUCCUAAUCUCAGCGCUACAAUGUCAGCGCUUACUUUUAUACUAGUUCUGAGCUGUUGUUAUUAUUGUUAAAUACAAUAGCAGGAAAAACACAAAUAGCUCAGUAAGUCAUAAUGGUGUCACAGUGAGCCGGCAUAAACAAUACUGGGACACUAAAAAUGAUGCACAGCAAUAACUUUCUUAUGUGAAAUGUAAAACGAUCUAACAUACACACUUACAAAACACUUUAAUAUAUACAUACUAGUAUCCAGUAGCACUGAGUUGAGAUUUUAUGUGCAUCAAAUAACAAGAUGAAAAAUUUAUAAGCUGUAAAAUUUAGACUCUGUGCUUAUGUGCUUGUGUACGCUGCCUCUCUCUAUCUGUCAUUACUAAUGCAGAUGCCUGAUUUGAUCUGAUUUAACCUGUGCUUUACCUGCAACGACUGUUUUUGUGUUCUGUUAUAAUGCAUCACUGCGUCUCUUAAUUUAGAAAUAAUUAUCUGUAGACUGUAGAGUCUUCAGCUAAAAUCCAUUGUAUGGGCACAGAAGACAGGAAAGACUGACAAAUGGAUACAGUGCAAACUCUUAUGUGGAUAAAUUAAGUUUCUGGGGGUCAUAAGAACUUUUUAAAGUAAACACUGAGUCACGGGCAUGGAGAUUUAGUCUAAAGAAAAAUGUCACCCUGUUCGCUAUCUGCUGCAACUGGCAGCUAAAAAUUGCCAUCUGGCUCAUUCAGCACACUCUUGAGUAUAUUUCUUGAGUGUUACUGCUUUCUGAAGCACAUAAUGUGUUAACA
Molecule: long non-coding RNA, 5623 nt
Organism: Haplochromis burtoni (Burton's mouthbrooder)
Lineage: Eukaryota; Metazoa; Chordata; Actinopteri; Cichliformes; Cichlidae
Exons: 2
Source: RefSeq, a predicted model, not a curated record